CUUUGGUUUGGUGCUUUAGCAGGUUUAUUGAUAGAAAUUAAUCGUUUAUUCCCAGAUGCUUUGUCAUUCCCUUUUUUUAAUUCUAGUUAUUGCUAUGGGAGGGAUAGAUUUCUUCAUAAUAUGACAAAAUUUGAUCCUUUUCAAUCUUUUUUUAGUAUCGGGUAUUGUCAGAUCCGAACAUAG
This 183-nucleotide ribosomal RNA is filed under the name Triticum aestivum (bread wheat). RNAcentral describes it as "partial small subunit ribosomal RNA". Lineage: Eukaryota; Viridiplantae; Streptophyta; Magnoliopsida; Poales; Poaceae. The record is from RNAcentral.